This 388-nucleotide long non-coding RNA is filed under the name Homo sapiens (human). Its description in RNAcentral is "HSALNT0261330". Lineage: Eukaryota; Metazoa; Chordata; Mammalia; Primates; Hominidae. The record is from RNAcentral.
CAGCUGUCUUCGCUUCGUCCAGACCAACAUCUCCCGCCUCCUGCAGGAGACCUCCGAGCAGCUGGUGGCGCUGAAGCCCUGGAUCACUCGCCAGAACUUCUCCCGGUGCCUGGAGCUGCAGUGUCAGCCCGGUGCCCCCCGUCCCCAGUCCCCAGGACCUGCUGCUUGUGGAGCACUGACCUGGCCAAGGCCUCAUCCUGCGGAGCCUUAAACAACGCAGUGAGACAGACAUCUAUCAUCCCAUUUUACAGGGGAGGAUACUGAGGCACACAGAGGGGAGUCACCAGCCAGAGGAUGCAUAGCCUGGACACAGAGGAAGUUGGCUAGAGGCCGGUCCCUUCCUUGGGCCCCUCUCAUUCCCUCCCCAGAAUGGAGGCAACGCCAGAAU